CCUACGGGAGGCAGCAGUGGGGAAUAUUGGACAAUGGGGGCAACCCUGAUCCAGCCAUGCCGCGUGUGUGAAGAAGGCCCUCGGGUUGUAAAGCACUUUCAGUGAGGAAGAACGCCUGGUGGUUAAUACCCAUCAGGAAAGACAUCACUCACAGAAGAAGCACCGGCUAAACUCCGUGCCAGCAGCCGCGGUAAUACGGAGGGUGCGAGCGUUAAUCGGAAUUACUGGGCGUAAAGCGCGCGUAGGUGGCUUGCUAAGCCGGUUGUGAAAGCCCCGGGCUCAACCUGGGAACGGCAUCCGGAACUGUCAAGUUAGAGUGCAGGAGAGGAAGGUAGAAUUCCCGGUGUAGCGGUGAAAUGCGUAGAGAUCGGGAGGAAUACCAGUGGCGAAGGCGGCCUUCUGGACUGACACUGACACUGAGGUGCGAAAGCGUGGGUAGCAAACAGGAUUAGAUACCCGUGUAGUC
Molecule: ribosomal RNA, 466 nt
Filed under: Vreelandella stevensii
Lineage: Bacteria; Pseudomonadati; Pseudomonadota; Gammaproteobacteria; Oceanospirillales; Halomonadaceae
Description: partial 16S ribosomal RNA
Rfam family: Bacterial small subunit ribosomal RNA
Source: RNAcentral